UUUGAUGUUGAGUUUGAAUAAAAUGAGAAAUGAGGUAAGAGAAGGUUCUGUCACGAUUUAACUUUCAAAAUAUUUCGUAGAUGCAUCUCCAGAAUAUUUUAACAUUAACCGAGGUUUUGGUGCAUCCGGAGAUGCAUCUCCAGAAUCUGGAGGCAUUUAUGUAUUUUUGCAUGGUGGCAAAAAAACUUAUGGGGUGCAUUAAGAAAUCCUCAAAUCAUUCCAAUGUCC
RNAcentral lists this long non-coding RNA (228 nucleotides) under Lathyrus oleraceus (garden pea). RNAcentral describes it as "Pisum sativum (pea) long non-coding RNA (PSAT_LNC033272)". The record is from RNAcentral. Lineage: Eukaryota; Viridiplantae; Streptophyta; Magnoliopsida; Fabales; Fabaceae.